UUAUAAUCAACUGAGCAAGCAUGAAUGCGACGUGUGUGUCAGUAGAAAACAAAUGCGGCCUUUGAUAAUGUAUGUCAUGGUGGAAAAGGGUGAUUUGGCCCUCAUUUUAAAUAUUUGAGUCGUGCGCUGAUAGGUUGAUGUCGUGUAAUUAAAACAAUGAUACGAUUUGAUGAAUAAUAUUCUGUGUAGACAUCCACUUUAGAUUCCUUUAUUUGUAGUUAUGCGUGAUAUAUGUGUAAGGCGGUAGUGUGCGUGGAUGGGAGGGAGCGAGUGAGAAAAGGAGAGAGGGAGGGCGAACCAAAGCCAAUAAGGGCCUAUGCUGGCUACUCCCCGUGCACACAGCGCUUUAUUUUUAUUUAUGCCGAGCAAGAAUCUGUUACUCGUGUUUGUAGGCCCAGUCCGUGGCGUCUAAAAGCCAGCUACCCUCUCCGGGGAGGAAGGUAGCAUGAUAGCCGUGGAUGGGAAUCGGCAGGAAGAGCGUCCCCGUCUGCUGCAUUCCGACUGCGCCCGCACCCGAAGCCACCGAGUCGGCAAGCGGCGGCGUCCGACAUGGGGAAGGAGGUGAACGGCGUCUCGCGGAGCCGCUUUGAGAUGUUCACAAACAGCGACGAGGCUGUCAUCAAUAAGAAGCUACCCAAAGAGCUGUUGCUGCGAAUCUUCUCCUUCCUGGAUGUGGUGACGCUGUGUCGCUGUGCUCAGGUCUCACGGUCCUGGAAUGUUCUGGCUCUAGAUGGAAGCAACUGGCAGCGCAUCGACCUCUUUGACUUUCAGCGGGACAUCGAGGGCCGAGUGGUGGAGAACAUCUCUAAGCGAUGUGGGGGGUUCCUGAGGAAGCUGAGCCUACGGGGGUGCCUCGGUGUGGGCGACAGCGCCCUGAGGACUUUCUCACAGAACUGCAGGAACAUCGAGCUGCUCAGUUUGAAUGGCUGCACCAAGAUCACUGACAGCACAUGUAACAGCCUGAGCAAGUUCUGCCCAAAGCUGAAGCACCUGGACCUCGCUUCCUGUACCUCAAUCACCAACCUGUCGCUCAAAGCCCUCAGCGAGGGCUGCCCACUGCUGGAGCAGCUCAAUAUCUCCUGGUGUGAUCAGGUCACCAAGGAUGGCAUCCAGGCUCUGGUUCAGUCCAGUCCGGGACUCAAGGGUCUUUUCCUAAAAGGCUGCACGCAGCUAGAAGAUGAGGCACUGAAGCAUAUUGGGGCGAAUUGUCCCGAGUUGGUCACGCUCAACUUGCAGACAUGCUCACAGAUCACAGAUGAUGGCCUCAUCACCAUUUGUCGAGGCUGCCAUCGUCUUCAGUCGCUGUGUGUGUCAGGCUGCGCCAACAUCACGGACGCCAUCUUGCACGCGCUCGGACAGAACUGCCCCCGCCUCAGAAUCUUAGAAGUGGCCCGCUGCUCCCAACUUACAGACGUGGGCUUCACGACGCUAGCAAGGAAUUGUCACGAGCUUGAGAAGAUGGAUUUAGAAGAAUGUGUACAGAUUACAGAUGGAACGCUCAUCCAGCUUUCUAUCUACUGCCCUCGGCUGCAAGUUCUGAGUCUGUCUCACUGCGAGCUCAUCACCGACGACGGCAUCCGCCACCUGGGCAGCGGGCCGUGCGCCCACGACCGACUGGAGGUGAUCGAGCUGGACAACUGCCCGCUUAUCACCGACGCCUCGCUGGAGCACUUGAAGAGCUGCCACAGUCUGGAUCGCAUCGAGCUCUACGACUGCCAGCAGAUCACCCGAGCCGGCAUCAAGAGGCUAAGGACCCACCUGCCUAACAUCAAAGUGCACGCGUACUUUGCCCCCGUCACUCCUCCGCCUUCGGUGGGGGGCAGCCGCCAGAGGUUUUGCCGUUGCUGCGUCGUGCUAUGAUGCAAAAGACAUCGACAUCGGUCUACUCCCCCCCUCGCUCCCCUGCGUGUGACCCGGAGUCCCUCCUAUUCAAGCUUCUCUCCCAGGACCCCGCCCCUCCCUUGGUCAAUCAGUACAUUCUUGCUGCGUCCCCUCCACUUUAUAAGCUGCAGAGAGACCAAACAGUGCAGGUGUGGCCCUAAUACUCCUUCGUGGACUCCUGGGGUCCAGACCGGUUGUGGUUUUUGAUGGGCCCAUGAAGUAUUGAAACCUCCGACUACCUGCAUUUAUUUUGCCCCUCAUUCUAUAUUUCACUGCCCUCCCUUUGCCUUGUUUCUUUUCUUUUGGCGUGGCUCCGAUUGCACCUGCUUCGUGUUGCGUUGUGUUCAGUGUCUCCUCUGAGAUUUUGUAUUUUUAUCAUCGUCGUAAAUCUCCAGGCCAGGUGCAAUUGUAAGUAGGAUUUUUUUUUUCUCGCUCUCUCUCUCAGAUAUUACUUCUCAUAUUUUCCUGAAUUGAAAAAGGCUCUUCAGGCAUGACGUGCCACUUUGGAAUAAUCCUGCUUCAUUUCUAUAUGUCGCCCUCUUUUCUGCUAUUACCUUACACCAAAUUCCCCAAACGUGACUGAAAUGUGGAAUGUUAAAGCGUCCUAAAUGUCCCCAAAAUGGAUUGAAGGAGGCUAAACAAGCUUGAGUCAAGAUUCUCAUAAUUUUUUGGGGGGAUAAUGCAAAGCAGGAUGAGCCCCGUGUAAUCCUGCCGUUUUGUUCGAGCGGGGCUCUGCAUUGGGUGGGGGAUUAGGGAACGUGUCAAAAUGGCAGCCGUGUACCCCCGAGAAAGAAAAGCGGGAUUGAUUUUCCUGGCCCAUGUGUCAAUACGAGAGAAACGCCUUAAGGAGCUUGCGGACCAAAGUGUCAAUGCUAACUCUGAAAAGCUUGAAUCAGCCCACUGACCCAUGUGUCAACGCUAACUCUGAAAAAUAAAGGAAGGAACGUGCGAUGAAGUCUUCUGGCCCACGUGUCAAUGCUGCUGGUCCAAAUGUCAACACUGACUCUGAAAAUGCAAGGAGACUUCUGGCCAGUGUGUUCACAUUCACUCUGAAUUUUACAGAUUGUGAGGAGAGAAAGAAUCCGCUGGCCUAUGUCAACUUUGGAGGAAAGUGAGAGCAGCUCGCUGGACCUUGUGUCAAUGCUAAUAAUGGAUUUACUGUGAGAAAACCACAAAAGAGCCUGCUGGCCCAUGUGUCAAGGCUAACUCUUAACGCCGGUAGGAAUGGUGCAAAGAUGUCUGUUGGCUCAUGUGUCAGCGCUCACUUUGGAAAGCAUAGAGCAGCUCACAGAACCGUCUGGCAACGCUAGCUUUGAAUAUUCCGGUCAGAAAGUGUAGAGGACGUUGUUGGCUCGUGCGUCAAUGCUAACGCUUGGCUAGUCAAUUGGCCCGUGUGUCGACAGCUCACUGUUGAGAAUAACGGUAGGAAAGCUUGUGUCAACAUCAUCGCAAAACAAACACACGGUUGGUUCCCCUUGCAUUUGAAAA
This is an RNA transcript of Hippocampus comes (tiger tail seahorse), 3369 nucleotides long. It is a transcript of the gene named F-box and leucine-rich repeat protein 20, with no coding region annotated. The transcript has 16 exons. Lineage: Eukaryota; Metazoa; Chordata; Actinopteri; Syngnathiformes; Syngnathidae. The record is from RefSeq and is a predicted model, not a curated record.